AAAGAAAACUGACAAGUUAUAAAUAAAAUUUGAGUUUCGAGCAUGAUUGGUAUAUAGAACUGAAUUGGGGCCACGAAUACGAUGCCAUCUUUCACCUCUACUUAAUAUUUGGAUGUGGUGUUUUGCCAAAACCAGAUUUGGGUUUUCUACCCUAACCAAAUUUAUAAUUCUACGGAAGGCCCUGCGACAACCUAAUGGAUUGAAUAGCUAAUCCAUGUAAAAUGUGG
This is a long non-coding RNA of Dreissena polymorpha, 227 nucleotides long. RefSeq lists it as uncharacterized. The record is from RefSeq and is a predicted model, not a curated record. The transcript is spliced from 5 exons. NCBI's taxonomy places the organism in Eukaryota, Metazoa, Mollusca, Bivalvia, Myida, Dreissenidae.